AGUGAACGCUGGCGGUAGGCCUAACACAUGCAAGUCGAACGGCAGCACAGUAAGAGCUUGCUCUUACGGGUGGCGAGUGGCGGACGGGUGAGGAAUACAUCGGAAUCUACUUUUUCGUGGGGGAUAACGUAGGGAAACUUACGCUAAUACCGCAUACGACCUACGGGUGAAAGCAGGGGAUCUUCGGACCUUGCGCGAUUGAAUGAGCCGAUGUCGGAUUAGCUAGUUGGCGGGGUAAAGGCCCACCAAGGCGACGAUCCGUAGCUGGUCUGAGAGGAUGAACAGCCACACUGGGACUGAGACACGGUCCAGGCCCCUACGGGAGGCAGCAGUGGGGAAUUUUGGACAAUGGGCGGAAGCCUGAUCCAGCCAUACCGCGUUGGGGAAGAAGGCCUUCGGGUUGUAAAACCCUUUUGUUGGGAAAGAAAAGCAGCAGGUUAAUACCCCGCUGGUCUGACGGUACCCAAAGAAUAAGCACCGGCUAACUUCGUG
This 492-nucleotide ribosomal RNA is filed under the name uncultured bacterium. RNAcentral describes it as "partial 16S ribosomal RNA". It matches the Rfam family "Bacterial small subunit ribosomal RNA", at positions 29 to 507 of the family's 1533-position model. The record is from RNAcentral.